GCGUUAAGUUGCAGGGUAUAGACCCGAAACCCGGUGAUCUAGCCAUGGGCAGGUUGAAGGUUGGGUAACACUAACUGGAGGACCGAACCGACUAAUGUUGAAAAAUUAGCGGAUGACCUGUGGCUGGGGGUGAAAGGCCAAUCAAACCGGGAGAUAGCUGGUUCUCCCCGAAAGCUAUUUAGGUAGCGCCUCGUGAAUUCAUCUCCGGGGGUAGAGCACUGUUUCGGCUAGGGGGCCAUCCCGGCUUACCAACCCGAUGCAAACUGCGAAUACCGGAGAAUGUUAUCACGGGAGACACACGGCGGGUGCUAACGUCCGUCGUGAAGAGGGAAACAACCCAGACCGCCAGCUAAGGUCCCAAAGUCAUGGUUAAGUGGGAAACGAUGUGGGAAGGCCCAGACAGCCAGGAUGUUGGCUUAGAAGCAGCCAUCAUUUAAAGAAAGCGUAAUAGCUCACUGGUCGAGUCGGCCUGCGCGGAAGAUGUAACGGGGCUAAACCAUGCACCGAAGCUGCGGCAGCGACGCUGAUGCGUUGUUGGGUAGGGGAGCGUUCUGUAAGCCUGCGAAGGUGUGUCGUGAGGCAUGCUGGAGGUAUCAGAAGUGCGAAUGCUGACAUAAGUAACGAUAAAGCGGGUGAAAAGCCCGCUCGCCGGAAGACCAAGGGUUCCUGUCCAACGUUAAUCGGGGCAGGGUGAGUCGACCCCUAAGGCGAGGCCGAAAGGCGUAGUCGAUGGGAAACGGGUUAAUAUUCCCGUACUUGGUGUUACUGCGAAGGGGGGACGGAGAAGGCUAUGUUGGCCGGGCGACGGUUGUCCCGGUUUAAGCGUGUAGGUGUGUGUUCCAGGUAAAUCCGGUUCACUUUAACACUGAGGCGUGAUGACGAGGCACUACGGUGCUGAAGCAACAAAUGCCCUGCUUCCAGGAAAAGCCUCUAAGCAUCAGGUAACAUCAAAUCGUACCCCAAACCGACACAGGUGGUCAGGUAGAGAAUACCAAGGCGCUUGAGAGAACUCGGGUGAAGGAACUAGGCAAAAUGGUGCCGUAACUUCGGGAGAAGGCACGCUGACACGUAGGUGAAGUGAUUUACUCAUGGAGCUGAAGUCAGUCGAAGAUACCAGCUGGCUGCAACUGUUUAUUAAAAACACAGCACUGUGCAAACACGAAAGUGGACGUAUACGGUGUGACGCCUGCCCGGUGCCGGAAGGUUAAUUGAUGGGGUCAGCGCAAGCGAAGCUCCUGAUCGAAGCCCCGGUAAACGGCGGCCGUAACUAUAACGGUCCUAAGGUAGCGAAAUUCCUUGUCGGGUAAGUUCCGACCUGCACGAAUGGCGUAAUGAUGGCCAGGCUGUCUCCACCCGAGACUCAGUGAAAUUGAACUCGCUGUGAAGAUGCAGUGUACCCGCGGCAAGACGGAAAGACCCCGUGAACCUUUACUAUAGCUUGACACUGAACAUUGAGCCUUGAUGUGUAGGAUAGGUGGGAGGCUUUGAAGUGUGGACGCCAGUCUGCAUGGAGCCGGCCUUGAAAUACCACCCUUUAAUGUUUGAUGUUCUAACGUGGACCCGUGAUCCGGGUUGCGGACAGUGUCUGGUGGGUAGUUUGACUGGGGCGGUCUCCUCCUAAAGAGUAACGGAGGAGCACGAAGGUUGGCUAAUCCUGGUCGGACAUCAGGAGGUUAGUGCAAUGGCAUAAGCCAGCUUGACUGCGAGCGUGACGGCGCGAGCAGGUGCGAAAGCAGGUCAUAGUGAUCCGGUGGUUCUGAAUGGAAGGGCCAUCGCUCAACGGAUAAAAGGUACUCCGGGGAUAACAGGCUGAUACCGCCCAAGAGUUCAUAUCGACGGCGGUGUUUGGCACCUCGAUGUCGGCUCAUCACAUCCUGGGGCUGAAGUAGGUCCCAAGGGUAUGGCUGUUCGCCAUUUAAAGUGGUACGCGAGCUGGGUUUAGAACGUCGUGAGACAGUUCGGUCCCUAUCUGCCGUGGGCGCUGGAGAACUGAGGGGGGCUGCUCCUAGUACGAGAGGACCGGAGUGGACGCAUCACUGGUGUUCGGGUUGUCAUGCCAAUGGCACUGCCCGGUAGCUAAAUGCGGAAGAGAUAAGUGCUGAAAGCAUCUAAGCACGAAACUUGCCCCGAGAUGAGUUCU
Molecule: ribosomal RNA, 2140 nt
Filed under: Salmonella enterica
Lineage: Bacteria; Pseudomonadati; Pseudomonadota; Gammaproteobacteria; Enterobacterales; Enterobacteriaceae
Description: bacterial LSU rRNA
Rfam family: Bacterial large subunit ribosomal RNA
Source: RNAcentral